Long non-coding RNA from Felis catus (domestic cat), 563 nucleotides. RefSeq lists it as uncharacterized. The record is from RefSeq and is a predicted model, not a curated record. NCBI's taxonomy places the organism in Eukaryota, Metazoa, Chordata, Mammalia, Carnivora, Felidae. The transcript has 2 exons.
GAAAAAGGAAACAUCAUAGGUCAUUAAAACUGGCCCAUUUAUAGCAGACAAUUUUAAGUGGAGAAAAAGAGGAGAAGAGAGAGAUCUAUCAAUGAAGCUCUCAAAUCACGUGCUCCAGAGGAAAGAGCACAGGAGUUCAAGGACCUGGUUCUAGUCGAGCUCUGCCAGCCACACUACCUGCGUGAUCUUGGAAAGCAACUUAGAAAGAAAGAAGAUGAAGUUACUGGACUCAGAUGCAAUCUUUGCUGCACAAAGAAUUAACAAUAAUGCACGAAGAAACCAGAGGAACAGCAUCAGCAGCAUAAAAUAAAAACGCCACACGCAUCUCGCAACAUACAGUAACUCGGUGACGUGUAAGGUGAGGGCAAGAGCUCUACACGAUUCACGAACAGCCCCGCGAGGUCUAACUGUGCUCCAGUCUGUCGUUUUCAGUCCAUUGCUCCAUUCUCUUCCUCCUCACUAAACUCCUCCAGGCGAGGUGACACUAGGAAGUGUCACUGGAUGGGCACUAGGCAAACGUUUGCCAAAUAAAUAAAUGCAAGAAUAAAUAUCUAUAAUGUUAA